RNAcentral lists this ribosomal RNA (490 nucleotides) under uncultured bacterium. RNAcentral describes it as "partial 16S ribosomal RNA". It matches the Rfam family "Bacterial small subunit ribosomal RNA", at positions 30 to 507 of the family's 1533-position model. The record is from RNAcentral.
AUUGAACGCUGGCGGCAGGCCUAACACAUGCAAGUCGAACGGUAACAGGAAGCAGCUUGCUGCUUCGCUGACGAGUGGCGGACGGGUGAGUAAUGUCCGGGAAGCUGCCUGAUGGAGGGGGAUAACUACUGGAAACGGUAGCUAAUACCGCAUAAUGUCGCAAGACCAAAGAGGGGGACCUUCGGGCCUCUUGCCAUCGGAUGUGCCCAGAUGGGAUUAGCUUGUUGGUGGGGUAACGGCUCACCAAGGCGACGAGCCCUAGCUGGUCUGAGAGGAUGACCAGCCCCACUGGAACUGGGGCACGGUUCAGACUCCUACGGGGAGGAGCAGUGGGGGAUAUUGCACAAUGGGCGCAAGCCUGAUGCAGCCAUGCCGCGUGUAUGAAGAAGGCCUUCGGGUUGUAAAGUACUUUCAGCGGGGAAAGAGGGAGUGAAGUUAAUACCUCUGCUCAUUGACGUUACCCGAAGGAGAAACACCGGCUAACUCCGUG